Molecule: ribosomal RNA, 424 nt
Filed under: Verrucomicrobiota bacterium
Lineage: Bacteria; Pseudomonadati; Verrucomicrobiota
Description: Verrucomicrobia bacterium partial 16S ribosomal RNA
Rfam family: Bacterial small subunit ribosomal RNA
Source: RNAcentral
UGUGGAAUAUUGGUCAAUGGACGAGAGUCUGAACCAGCCAAGUAGCUUGCAGGAUGACGGCCCUAUGGGUUGUAAACUGCUUUUGUUUGGGAAUCAUCGACAUUACGUGUAAUGUCUUGCAUGUACCAUUCGAAUAAGGACCGGCUAAUUCCGUGCCAGCAGCCUCUCUAAUACGCACGGUCCAGGCGCUAUCCGGAUUUAUUUGGUUUAAAGGGAGUGUAGGCGGUUGGUUAAGCGUGUUGUGAAAUGUAGAUGCUCAACAUCUGACUUGCAGCGCGAACUGGCUGACUUGAGUACACACAACGUAGGCGGAAUUCAUGGUGUAGCGGUGAAAUGCUUAGAUAUCAUGAAGAACUCCGAUUGCGAAGGCAGCUUACGGGAGUGUUACUGACGCUUAAGCUCGAAAGUGCGGGUAUCGAACAGG